CCUACGGGAGGCAGCAGUAGGGAAUUUUCGUCAAUGGGCGCAAGCCUGAACGAGCAAUGCCGCGUGAACGAGGAAGGUCUUCGGAUCGUAAAGUUCUGUUGAAGGGGAAAAAGAGCGGAGAGAGGAAAUGCUUUCUGAUUGAUAUUACCCUUCGAGGAAGUCACGGCUAACUCCGUGCCAGCAGCCGCGGUAAUACGGAGGAUGCGAGCGUUAUCCGGAUUUAUUGGGUUUAAAGGGUGCGUAGGCGGAAUGCCAAGUCAGCGGUAAAAUCGCGGGGCUCAACCUCGCUCCGCCGUUGAAACUGGGAGGCUUGAGUAUGUUUGAGGCAGGCGGAAUGCGUGGUGUAGCGGUGAAAUGCUUAGAUAUCACGCAGAACCCCGAUUGCGAAGGCAGCCUGCCAAGCCAUGACUGACGCUGAUGCACGAAAGCGUGGGUAUCGAACAGGAUUAGAUACCCUAGUAGUC
RNAcentral lists this ribosomal RNA (464 nucleotides) under uncultured bacterium. RNAcentral describes it as "partial 16S ribosomal RNA". It matches the Rfam family "Bacterial small subunit ribosomal RNA", at positions 338 to 795 of the family's 1533-position model. The record is from RNAcentral.